UUGAUCUUGCUUUUUUU
This 17-nucleotide small RNA is filed under the name Arabidopsis thaliana (thale cress). RNAcentral's name for it is "ATSL220270". Lineage: Eukaryota; Viridiplantae; Streptophyta; Magnoliopsida; Brassicales; Brassicaceae. The record is from RNAcentral.